Molecule: ribosomal RNA, 522 nt
Filed under: uncultured bacterium
Lineage: Bacteria
Description: bacterial SSU rRNA
Rfam family: Bacterial small subunit ribosomal RNA
Source: RNAcentral
CAAUGGGGGGAACCCUGAUCCAGCCAUGCCGCGUGUGUGAAGAAGGCCUUUUGGUUGUAAAGCACUUUAAGCGAGGAGGAGGCUUACCUGGUUAAUACCCAGGCUAAGUGGACGUUACUCGCAGAAUAAGCACCGGCUAACUCUGUGCCAGCAGCCGCGGUAAUACAGAGGGUGCGAGCGUUAAUCGGAUUUACUGGGCGUAAAGCGUGCGUAGGCGGCUUUUUAAGUCGGAUGUGAAAUCCCCGAGCUUAACUUGGGAAUUGCAUUCGAUACUGGGAAGCUAGAGUAUGGGAGAGGAUGGUAGAAUUCCAGGUGUAGCGGUGAAAUGCGUAGAGAUCUGGAGGAAUACCGAUGGCGAAGGCAGCCAUCUGGCCUAAUACUGACGCUGAGGUACGAAAGCAUGGGGAGCAAACAGGAUUAGAUACCCUGGUAGUCCAUGCCGUAAACGAUGUCUACUAGCCGUUGGGGCCUUUGAGGCUUUAGUGGCGCAGCUAACGCGAUAAGUAGACCGCCUGGGGAGUA